ACAACAUUCGGACCGUUGGUCUACAGAGCAUUAUCACCCGCUCGGUGGAAGAUCUUCCCUUCGUCAU
Molecule: microRNA precursor, 67 nt
Filed under: Bombyx mori (domestic silkworm)
Lineage: Eukaryota; Metazoa; Arthropoda; Insecta; Lepidoptera; Bombycidae
Description: mir-2774 microRNA precursor family
Rfam family: mir-2774 microRNA precursor family
Source: Rfam by way of RNAcentral